This 253-nucleotide ribosomal RNA is filed under the name uncultured bacterium. RNAcentral describes it as "partial 16S ribosomal RNA". It matches the Rfam family "Bacterial small subunit ribosomal RNA", at positions 524 to 776 of the family's 1533-position model. The record is from RNAcentral.
UACAGCGGGUGCGAGCGUUAAUCGGAAUUACUGGGCGUAAAGCGUGCGUAGACGGUUAUGUAAGUCGGGUGUGAAAGCCCCGGGCUCAACCUGGGAAUUGCAUUCGAGACUGCAUAGCUAGGGUGCGGAAGAGGGAAGCGGAAUUUCCGGUGUAGCGGUGAAAUGCGUAGAUAUCGGAAGGAACACCAGUGGCGAAAGCGGCUUCCUGGUCCAGCACCGACGUUCAGGCACGAAAGCGUGGGGAGCAAACAGG